UGGGGAAUUUUGGACAAUGGGCGAAAGCCUGAUCCAGCAAUGCCGCGUGUGUGAAGAAGGCCUUCGGGUUGUAAAGCACUUUUGUCCGGAAAGAAAUCCUUGGCUCUAAUACAGUCGGGGGAUGACGGUACCGGAAGAAUAAGCACCGGCUAACUACGUGCCAGCAGCCGCGGUAAUACGUAGGGUGCAAGCGUUAAUCGGAAUUACUGGGCGUAAAGCGUGCGCAGGCGGUUUGCUAAGACCGAUGUGAAAUCCCCGGGCUCAACCUGGGAACUGCAUUGGUGACUGGCAGGCUAGAGUAUGGCAGAGGGGGGUAGAAUUCCACGUGUAGCAGUGAAAUGCGUAGAGAUGUGGAGGAAUACCGAUGGCGAAGGCAGCCCCCUGGGCCAAAUACUGACGCUCAUGCACGAAAGCGUGGGGAGCAAACAGGAUUAGAUACCCUGGUAGUCCACGCCCUAAACGAUGUCAACUAGUUGUGGGGAUUCAUUUCCUUAGUAACGUAGCUAACGCGUGAAGUUGACCGCCUGGGGAGUACGGUCGCAAGAUUAAAACUUAAAUGAA
RNAcentral lists this ribosomal RNA (561 nucleotides) under uncultured bacterium. RNAcentral's name for it is "partial 16S ribosomal RNA". It matches the Rfam family "Bacterial small subunit ribosomal RNA", at positions 355 to 909 of the family's 1533-position model. The record is from RNAcentral.